RNAcentral lists this ribosomal RNA (497 nucleotides) under uncultured bacterium. Its description in RNAcentral is "partial 16S ribosomal RNA". It matches the Rfam family "Bacterial small subunit ribosomal RNA", at positions 28 to 507 of the family's 1533-position model. The record is from RNAcentral.
GAUGAACGCUGGCGGCGUGCCUAAUACAUGCAAGUCGAGCGAACGGACGAGAAGCUUGCUUCUCUGAUGUUAGCGGCGGACGGGUGAGUAACACGUGGAUAACCUACCUAUAAGACUGGGAUAACUUCGGGAAACCGUAGCUAAUACCGGAUAAUAUUUUGAACCGCAUGGUUCAAAAGUGAAAGACGGUCUUGCUGUCACUUAUAGAUGGAUCCGCGCUGCAUUAGCUAGUUGGUAAGGUAACGGCUUACCAAGGCAACGAUGCAUAGCCGACCUGAGAGGGUGAUCGGCCACACUGGAACUGAGACACGGUCCAGACUCCUACGGGAGGCAGCAGUAGGGAAUCUUCCGCAAUGGGCGAAAGCCUGACGGAGCAACGCCGCGUGAGUGAUGAAGGUCUUCGGAUCGUAAAACUCUGUUAUUAGGGAAGAACAUAUGUGUAAGUAACUGUGCCCAUCUUGACGGUACCUAAUCAGAAAGCCACGGCUAACUACGUG